AUUGAACGCUGGCGGCAGGCCUAACACAUGCAAGUCGAGCGGAUGAAGGGAGCUUGCUCCUGGAUUCAGCGGAGGACGGGUGAGUAAUGCCUAGGAAUCUGCCUGGGAGUGGGGGAUAACGUCCGGAAACGGGCGCUAAUACCGCAUACGUCCUGAGGGAGAAAGUGGGGGAUCUUCGGACCUCACGCUAUCAGAUGAGCCUAGGUCGGAUUAGCUAGUUGGUGGGGUAAAGGCCUACCAAGGCGACGAUCCGUAACUGGUCUGAGAGGAUGAUCAGUCACACUGGAACUGAGACACGGUCCAGACUCCUACGGGAGGCAGCAGUGGGGAAUAUUGGACAAUGGGCGAAAGCCUGAUCCAGCCAUGCCGCGUGUGUGAAGAAGGUCUUCGGAUUGUAAAGCACUUUAAGUUGGGAGGAAGGGCAGUAAGUUAAUACCUUGCUGUUUUGACGUUACCAACAGAAUAAGCACCGGCUAACUUCGUG
This 484-nucleotide ribosomal RNA is filed under the name uncultured bacterium. RNAcentral's name for it is "partial 16S ribosomal RNA". It matches the Rfam family "Bacterial small subunit ribosomal RNA", at positions 30 to 507 of the family's 1533-position model. The record is from RNAcentral.